This 253-nucleotide ribosomal RNA is filed under the name uncultured bacterium. RNAcentral's name for it is "partial 16S ribosomal RNA". It matches the Rfam family "Bacterial small subunit ribosomal RNA", at positions 524 to 776 of the family's 1533-position model. The record is from RNAcentral.
UACGUAGGUGGCAAGCGUUGUCCGGAUUUAUUGGGUUUAAAGGGUGCGUAGGCGGUUUUUUAAGUCAGUGGUGAAAUACAGCCGCUCAACGGUUGAGGUGCCAUUGAUACUGGGAAACUUGAGUACAGACGAGGUAGGCGGAAUUGACGGUGUAGCGGUGAAAUGCAUAGAUAUCGUCAAGAACACCGAUAGCGAAGGCAGCUUACUAGACUGUAACUGACGCUGAUGCACGAAAGUGUGGGGAUCAAACAGG